GACGAACGCUGGCGGCGUGCUUAGCACAUGCAAGUCGAACGGAAAGGCCUCUUUCGGGGGGUACUCGAGUGGCGAACGGGUGAGUAACACGUGAGUAACCUGCCCUUGACUUUGGGAUAACUUCAGGAAACUGGGGCUAAUACCGGAUAGGAGCUCCUGCUGCAUGGUGGGGGUUGGAAAGUUUCGGCGGUUGGGGAUGGACUCGCGGCGUAUCAGCUUGUUGGUGGGGUAGUGGCUUACCAAGGCUUUGACGGGUAGCCGGCCUGAGAGGGUGACCGGCGACCCGGGAACUGAGAGGCGGUCCGGGCGCCUAGGGGAGGCAGCAGUGGGGAAUAUUGGACAGUGGGCGGAAGCCUGAUCGAGCCAUACCGCGUGGGUGAAGAAGGCGUGCGGGUUGUAAAGCUCUUUUGUGGGGAAAGAAAAGCAGCAGGUUAAUACCCCGCGGUUCUGACGGUACCCAAAGAAUAAGCACCGGCUAACGUCGUG
This 486-nucleotide ribosomal RNA is filed under the name uncultured bacterium. RNAcentral's name for it is "partial 16S ribosomal RNA". It matches the Rfam family "Bacterial small subunit ribosomal RNA", at positions 28 to 507 of the family's 1533-position model. The record is from RNAcentral.